RNAcentral lists this non-coding RNA (45 nucleotides) under Echinostoma caproni. The record is from RNAcentral. Lineage: Eukaryota; Metazoa; Platyhelminthes; Trematoda; Plagiorchiida; Echinostomatidae.
ACAUUGAUGACGGGUCCCAAACAGGACGAAACAGCUGUCCAGUGU